Molecule: ribosomal RNA, 2896 nt
Filed under: Campylobacter coli
Lineage: Bacteria; Pseudomonadati; Campylobacterota; Epsilonproteobacteria; Campylobacterales; Campylobacteraceae
Description: bacterial LSU rRNA
Rfam family: Bacterial large subunit ribosomal RNA
Source: RNAcentral
CUAAGAGCGAAUGGUGGAUGCCUUGACUGGUAAAGGCGAUGAAGGACGUACUAGACUGCGAUAAGCUACGGGGAGCUGUCAAGAAGCUUUGAUCCGUAGAUUUCCGAAUGGGGCAACCCAAUGUAUAGAGAUAUACAUUACCUAUAUAGGAGCGAACGAGGGGAAUUGAAACAUCUUAGUACCCUCAGGAAAAGAAAUCAAUAGAGAUUGCGUCAGUAGCGGCGAGCGAAAGCGCAAGAGGGCAAACCCAGUGCUUGCACUGGGGGUUGUAGGACUGCAAUGUGCAAGAGGUGAGUUUAGCAGAACAUUCUGGAAAGUAUAGCCAUAGAGGGUGAUAGUCCCGUAUGCGAAAAACAAACCUUAGCUAGCAGUAUCCUGAGUAGGGCGGGACACGAGAAAUCCUGUCUGAAGCUGGGUCGACCACGAUCCAACCCUAAAUACUAAUACCAGAUCGAUAGUGCACAAGUACCGUGAGGGAAAGGUGAAAAGAACUGAGGUGAUCAGAGUGAAAUAGAACCUGAAACCAUUUGCUUACAAUCAUUCAGAGCCCUAUGUAGCAAUACAGGGUGAUGGACUGCCUUUUGCAUAAUGAGCCUGCGAGUUGUGGUGUCUGGCAAGGUUAAGCAAACGCGAAGCCGUAGCGAAAGCGAGUCUGAAUAGGGCGCUUAGUCAGAUGCUGCAGACCCGAAACGAAGUGAUCUAUCCAUGAGCAAGUUGAAGCUAGUGUAAGAACUAGUGGAGGACUGAACCCAUAGGCGUUGAAAAGCCCCGGGAUGACUUGUGGAUAGGGGUGAAAGGCCAAUCAAACUUCGUGAUAGCUGGUUCUCUCCGAAAUAUAUUUAGGUAUAGCGUUGUGUCGUAAUAUAAGGGGGUAGAGCACUGAAUGGGCUAGGGCAUACACCAAUGUACCAAACCCUAUCAAACUCCGAAUACCUUAUAUGUAAUCACAGCAGUCAGGCGGCGAGUGAUAAAAUCCGUCGUCAAGAGGGAAACAACCCAGACUACCAGCUAAGGUCCCUAAAUCUUACUUAAGUGGAAAACGAUGUGAAGUUACUUAAACAACCAGGAGGUUGGCUUAGAAGCAGCCAUCCUUUAAAGAAAGCGUAAUAGCUCACUGGUCUAGUGAUUUUGCGCGGAAAAUAUAACGGGGCUAAAGUAAGUACCGAAGCUGUAGACUUGAUUUUAUCAAGUGGUAGGAGAGCGUUCUAUUUGCGCCGAAGGUAUACCGGUAAGGAGUGCUGGAGCGAAUAGAAGUGAGCAUGCAGGCAUGAGUAGCGAUAAUUAAUGUGAGAAUCAUUAACGCCGUAAACCCAAGGUUUCCUACGCGAUGCUCGUCAUCGUAGGGUUAGUCGGGUCCUAAGUCGAGUCCGAAAGGGGUAGACGAUGGCAAAUUGGUUAAUAUUCCAAUACCAACAUUAGUGUGCGAUGGAAGGACGCUUAGGGCUAAGGGGGCUAGCGGAUGGAAGUGCUAGUCUAAGGUCGUAGGAGGUUAUACAGGCAAAUCCGUAUAACAAUACUCCGAGAACUGAAAGGCUUUUUGAAGUCUUCGGAUGGAUAGAAGAACCCCUGAUGCCGUCGAGCCAAGAAAAGUUUCUAAGUUUAGCUAAUGUUGCCCGUACCGUAAACCGACACAGGUGGGUGGGAUGAGUAUUCUAAGGCGCGUGGAAGAACUCUCUUUAAGGAACUCUGCAAAAUAGCACCGUAUCUUCGGUAUAAGGUGUGGUUCGCUUCGUAUUAGGAUUUACUCCGAAAGCGAAGAAACUUACAACAAAGAGUCCCUCCCGACUGUUUACCAAAAACACAGCACUCUGCUAACUCGUAAGAGGAUGUAUAGGGUGUGACGCCUGCCCGGUGCUCGAAGGUUAAUUGAUGGGGUUAGCAUUAGCGAAGCUCUUGAUCGAAGCCCGAGUAAACGGCGGCCGUAACUAUAACGGUCCUAAGGUAGCGAAAUUCCUUGUCGGUUAAAUACCGACCUGCAUGAAUGGCGUAACGAGAUGGGAGCUGUCUCAAAGAGGGAUCCAGUGAAAUUGUAGUGGAGGUGAAAAUUCCUCCUACCCGCGGCAAGACGGAAAGACCCCGUGGACCUUUACUACAGCUUGACACUGCUAUUUGGAUAAGAAUGUGCAGGAUAGGUGGGAGGCUUUGAGUAUAUGACGCCAGUUGUAUAUGAGCCAUUGUUGAGAUACCACUCUUUCUUAUUUGGGUAGCUAACCAGCUUGAGUUAUCCUCAAGUGGGACAAUGUCUGGUGGGUAGUUUGACUGGGGCGGUCGCCUCCCAAAUAAUAACGGAGGCUUACAAAGGUUGGCUCAGAACGGUUGGAAAUCGUUCGUAGAGUAUAAAGGUAUAAGCCAGCUUAACUGCAAGACAUACAAGUCAAGCAGAGACGAAAGUCGGUCUUAGUGAUCCGGUGGUUCUGUGUGGAAGGGCCAUCGCUCAAAGGAUAAAAGGUACCCCGGGGAUAACAGGCUGAUCUCCCCCAAGAGCUCACAUCGACGGGGAGGUUUGGCACCUCGAUGUCGGCUCAUCGCAUCCUGGGGCUGGAGCAGGUCCCAAGGGUAUGGCUGUUCGCCAUUUAAAGCGGUACGCGAGCUGGGUUCAGAACGUCGUGAGACAGUUCGGUCCCUAUCUGCCGUGGGCGUAAGAAGAUUGAAGAGAUUUGACCCUAGUACGAGAGGACCGGGUUGAACAAACCACUGGUGUAGCUGUUGUUCUGCCAAGAGCAUCGCAGCGUAGCUAAGUUUGGAAAGGAUAAACGCUGAAAGCAUCUAAGCGUGAAGCCAACUCUAAGAUGAAUCUUCUCUAAGCUCUCUAGAAGACUACUAGUUUGAUAGGCUGGGUGUGUAAUGGAUGAAAGUCCUUUAGCUGACCAGUACUAAUAGAGCGUUUGGCUUAUCU